Molecule: ribosomal RNA, 450 nt
Filed under: uncultured bacterium
Lineage: Bacteria
Description: bacterial SSU rRNA
Rfam family: Bacterial small subunit ribosomal RNA
Source: RNAcentral
GUGGGGAAUAUUGGACAAUGGGCGAAAGCCUGAUCCAGCCAUGCCGCGUGUGUGAAGAAGGUCUUCGGAUUGUAAAGCACUUUAAGUUGGGAGGAAGGGCAGUAAGUUAAUACCUUGCUGUUUUGACGUUACCGACAGAAUAAGCACCGGCUAACUUCGUGCCAGCAGCCGCGGUAAUACGAAGGGUGCAAGCGUUAAUCGGAAUUACUGGGCGUAAAGCUCGCGUAGGUGGUUUUGUAAGUUGGAGGUGAAAUCCCCGGGCUCAACCUGGGAACUGCCUCACAAACUGCAUGACUAGAGUACGGUAGAGGGUAGUGGAAUUUCCUGUGUAGCGGUGAAAUGCGUAGAUAUAGGAAGGAACACCAGUGGCGAAGGCGACUACCUGGACUGAUACUGACACUGAGGUGCGAAAGCGUGGGGAGCAAACAGGAUUAGAUACCCCUGUAGUCC